This 1243-nucleotide long non-coding RNA is filed under the name Numida meleagris (helmeted guineafowl). Its description in RNAcentral is "lncRNA (ENSNMEG00000002351.1)". The record is from RNAcentral. Lineage: Eukaryota; Metazoa; Chordata; Aves; Galliformes; Numididae.
UCAGAGCAGGGGGUAGCACAGCUGCUCACUAGGGGUUGGCUUGCUGAGAGUUUACCUUGUGACACUCUGGAAGCAGGCUGCUGAGCUGCUUAACAUGAGCCUGAGCAGGGUUGUAAAAGUGCUGAGCCCCUGCUCUGCACGCUGCCCACCCAGCCAGUGCAGCAGCGUGUGUUCUCGCUCAAGCACGUGCUGCUGUGGGGCCGGGGAUACUUGUGCUGCCUGCACUGCAUCUCCCAGGCCAUAGGAAUUCUCCAUCUUUGAAGGUGUUGGGAGUCAGGUUGGAUGGGGCUUUGAGCAACUGGGUCUUGUGCAAGAUGUCUCUACCCACCCCAAACCAUUCUGUGAUUCUCUGAAGGUCAGAGGUGAGGCCAGGGUCUGUGUUGAGUCGGCAACACAGAUGUGGCCUUGACUUUGCUGUAAGGCAAUUUUAAAAAAUACUCUCAUAUAUCUCCCCAGCCAAAUUCACUGCCCUAAAAAAGGGCUUGUGGAAGCAUCAAAAAAGUGGGUCGUGCCCAUGCAGUGCUUUUAUUUAAAUGUACUGAAAAGCAGAUCCCAAGCGGAUACUGCAGAAAUCCACUCUCCUAAGCUGUGUUGCUGCUGCCUCAGGUGUCCUCCACGCUGCUGCCUCCAACACCUGAGGCUGUUGGUCUGUUGGCCAUCACAGCUCCUGCUGCUGAGGGGAAGGGCACCUGUCCCCAUCGUACUGGUGGGGACCGAGGAACAAGCUCCAGCUUAGCCAGUGACUCAGAGGAAACCUGGUGCAGCAGAAAGGGGAACCAGACCAUCUCCCUCGGUCAUACUGUAGUGGGUCAUGUCUUUCAGGUUUCCAGCACAGCUUUUCUGCCUGCUAAGUGUUUCAGUCUUGGCCUUCUGUCAUACUGGGAGGCUUUUCCCAGGGCUGGAGCUGGAUGGAGGGAACAUGCUCCAUAUAUUGGUGUCUGGCUGUAUUUUCAGGGUGCUUUCAUGCUGGCAGGUAGCCUUGACUAUCUGCCAGUCCUUCUCUCCUUGCACACAUAUGAAGUCUUACUCAAGCAGGGAGAGAGGGGGUAUCAGAAUUAAAACCCGAGAGGUUGAGAUCUAUUUUGUUUUAAACACAGGGAAAAAACUCAACGUGUGCCACAACCUCCUGGAAAGCACUGAGGAUGCAGUAGGAGGGGGAAAAGAUGGAAAAUGGAAACUCAGAGGGUGUGGGAGUUUCCCAUUGUACCAAAAAUCUUUUGUGGCGUAUAGUGUCAGCACUUAG